GAGAGACUAGCUCAUCUGGAUAGAGCGUUACCCUCCGGAGGUAAAGGUGGUGGGUUCGAGUCCCGCGUCUCUCA
This 74-nucleotide transfer RNA is filed under the name Treponema sp. Its description in RNAcentral is "tRNA-Arg". It matches the Rfam family "tRNA". From Rfam's summary of the family: Transfer RNA (tRNA) molecules are approximately 80 nucleotides in length. The record is from RNAcentral. Lineage: Bacteria; Pseudomonadati; Spirochaetota; Spirochaetia; Treponematales; Treponemataceae.